CGGCGGACGGGUUAGUAACGCGUGGGAAUAUACCCUUUGGUACGGAAUAGCCUCUGGAAACGGAGAGUAAUACCGUAUGAGCCCUUCGGGGGAAAGAUUUAUCGCCAAAGGAUUAGCCCGCGUUAGAUUAGGUAGUUGGUGGGGUAAUGGCCUACCAAGCCUACGAUCUAUAGCUGGUUUUAGAGGAUGAUCAGCAACACUGGGACUGAGACACGGCCCAGACUCCUACGGGAGGCAGCAGUGGGGAAUCUUGGACAAUGGGGGCAACCCUGAUCCAGCCAUGCCGCGUGAGUGAUGAAGGCCUUAGGGUCGUAAAGCUCUUUCGCCUGUGAAGAUAAUGACGGUAGCAGGUAAAGAAACCCCGGCUAACUCCGUGCCAGCAGCCGCGGUAAUACGGAGGGGGUUAGCGUUGUUCGGAAUUACUGGGCGUAAAGCGCACGUAGGCGGACUGGAAAGUUGGGGGUGAAAUCCCAGGGCUCAACCCUGGAACUGCCUCCAAAACUAUCAGUCUAGAGUUCGAGAGAGGUGAGUGGAAUUCCGAGUGUAGAGGUGAAAUUCGUAGAUAUUCGGAGGAACACCAGUGGCGAAGGCGGCUCACUGGCUCGAUACUGACG
RNAcentral lists this ribosomal RNA (614 nucleotides) under Ruegeria atlantica. Its description in RNAcentral is "bacterial SSU rRNA". It matches the Rfam family "Bacterial small subunit ribosomal RNA", at positions 96 to 745 of the family's 1533-position model. The record is from RNAcentral. Lineage: Bacteria; Pseudomonadati; Pseudomonadota; Alphaproteobacteria; Rhodobacterales; Roseobacteraceae.